CAUGUCUUUUUGAUUAUGAUUUAAGGUUUAAUCUGCUCUAUGAGUUAUUAAAUGGCCGCAGUAUUUUGACUGUGCAAAGGUAGCGUGAUAAUUAGUUUUUUAAUUGGAAACUGGUAUGAAUGAUUGGACGAGGAAAGAUCUGUUUCAGUAUAAUUAUAAUUGAAUUUAACUUUUGAGUUAAAAGGCUUAAAUGUAUUUAGAGGACGAGAAGACCCUAUAGAGUUUUAUAGUAUAUAAUUAAUAUUGUGAUUUUGAUAUUAGAAUUUUAUAGAUAAUAUUAUUUGAUUGGGGUGAUUAAAAGAUAUAAUUAACUCUUUUUAUGUGGACAGUGAUUUCUGAGUUUUUGAUAGUUUGUUGGAAUUAAAAGAUUAAAUUACCUUAGGGAUAACAGCGUUAUUUUUUAUGAAGUUCUUAUUUAAAAAAGAGAUUGCGACCUCGAUGUUGGAUUAAAAUUUAUUUUUGGUGUAGAAGCUGAGAUAUUAAGUCUGUUCGACUUUUAAAAUUUUACAUGAUCUGAGU
This 519-nucleotide ribosomal RNA is filed under the name Eucnemidae sp. UPOL RK0078. RNAcentral's name for it is "partial 16S ribosomal RNA". It matches the Rfam family "Bacterial large subunit ribosomal RNA", at positions 1827 to 2610 of the family's 2925-position model. The record is from RNAcentral. Lineage: Eukaryota; Metazoa; Arthropoda; Insecta; Coleoptera; Eucnemidae.